CCUACGGGUGGCUGCAGUAAGGAAUAUUGGUCAAUGGAGGAAACUCUGAACCAGCCAUCCCGCGUGAAGGAUGAAGGGGCUCUGCCUUGUAAACUUCUUUUGUCUGGGGCGAAACAGCUCGAUUUAUCGAGAACUGACGGUACCAGAAGAAUAAGCACCGGCUAACUCCGUGCCAGCAGCCGCGGUAAUACGGAGGGUGCAGGCGUUAUCCGGAUUCACUGGUGUUAAGGCGUGCGUGUACGGCAUUGGUGAAAGGCUGUGGCUUAACCAUGGAAGUGCCAUUGAUACUGCAGAGCUGGAAUGAGGUUGAGGUUGGCGGAAUGUGACAUGUAGCGGUGAAAUGCUUAGAUAUGUCAUGGAACACCGAUGGCGAAGGCAGCUGACUGGACCUAUAUUGACGCUGAGGAACGAAAGCGUGGGGAGCGAACAGGAUUAGAUACCCUUGUAGUC
This 450-nucleotide ribosomal RNA is filed under the name uncultured bacterium. RNAcentral describes it as "partial 16S ribosomal RNA". It matches the Rfam family "Bacterial small subunit ribosomal RNA", at positions 338 to 795 of the family's 1533-position model. The record is from RNAcentral.